RNAcentral lists this ribosomal RNA (465 nucleotides) under Vreelandella stevensii. Its description in RNAcentral is "partial 16S ribosomal RNA". It matches the Rfam family "Bacterial small subunit ribosomal RNA", at positions 338 to 795 of the family's 1533-position model. The record is from RNAcentral. Lineage: Bacteria; Pseudomonadati; Pseudomonadota; Gammaproteobacteria; Oceanospirillales; Halomonadaceae.
CCUACGGGUGGCUGCAGUGGGGAAUAUUGGACAAUGGGCGAAAGCCUGAUCCAGCCAUGCCGCGUGUGUGAAGAAGGCCUUCGGGUUGUAAAGCACUUUCAGUGGGGAAGAAAGCCUUGGGGCUAAUACCCUCGAGGAAGGACAUCACCCACAGAAGAAGCACCGGCUAACUCCGUGCCAGCAGCCGCGGUAAUACGGAGGGUGCGAGCGUUAAUCGGAAUUACUGGGCGUAAAGCGCGCGUAGGCGGUCUGAUAAGCCGGUUGUGAAAGCCCCGGGCUCAACCUGGGAACGGCAUCCGGAACUGGCAGGCUAGAGUGCAGGAGAGGAAGGUAGAAUUCCCGGUGUAGCGGUGAAAUGCGUAGAGAUCGGGAGGAAUACCAGUGGCGAAGGCGGCCUUCUGGACUGACACUGACGCUGAGGUGCGAAAGCGUGGGUAGCAAACAGGAUUAGAUACCCGGGUAGUC